RNAcentral lists this ribosomal RNA (701 nucleotides) under uncultured bacterium. Its description in RNAcentral is "bacterial SSU rRNA". It matches the Rfam family "Bacterial small subunit ribosomal RNA", at positions 8 to 700 of the family's 1533-position model. The record is from RNAcentral.
AGAGUUUGAUCCUGGCUCAGGAUGAACGCUAGCGGCAGGCUUAACACAUGCAAGUCGAGGGGUAACAGGGUUUAGUUUACUAGAUUGCUGACGACCGGCGCACGGGUGAGUAACGCGUAUACAAUUUACCUUUUACAGGAGAAUAGCCCAGAGAAAUUUGGAUUAAUGCUCCAUGGUAUUAUUGAUUGGCAUCGAUUAAUAAUUAAAGAUUUAUCGGUAAGAGAUGAGUAUGCGUCCUAUUAGCUAGAUGGUAAGGUAACGGCUUACCAUGGCAACGAUAGGUAGGGGUCCUGAGAGGGAGAUCCCCCACACUGGUACUGAGACACGGACCAGACUCCUACGGGAGGCAGCAGUGAGGAAUAUUGGGCAAUGGAGGCAACUCUGACCCAGCCAUGCCGCGUGCAGGAAGACGGCCCUAUGGGUUGUAAACUGCUUUUAUAGAGGAAGAAACCCCUUCACGUGUGAAGGGCUGACGGUACUCUACGAAUAAGCACCGGCUAACUCCGUGCCAGCAGCCGCGGUAAUACGGAGGGUGCAAGCGUUAUCCGGAAUCAUUGGGUUUAAAGGGUCCGUAGGCGGGCAAUUAAGUCAGGGGUGAAAUCCCACAGCUCAACUGUGGAACUGCCUUUGAUACUGGUUGUCUUGAGUUAUAGUGAAGUAGAUAGAAUGUGUAGUGUAGCGGUGAAAUGCAUAGAUAUUAC